AAAGCCGUCUGUCUGUUGACUAAGCCGGAAGACGAAAAAUUCUAAAAACAGAACAAGCAUGUAGUAUGUUGACAUUAGGUCAUCACAGGACGCGGGUUCAACUCCCGCCGGCUCCACCA
This 119-nucleotide transfer-messenger RNA is filed under the name Lentisphaeria bacterium. Its description in RNAcentral is "partial transfer-messenger RNA". It matches the Rfam family "transfer-messenger RNA", at positions 258 to 374 of the family's 374-position model. Rfam says of the family: Bacterial tmRNA, also known as 10Sa RNA or SsrA, is named for its dual tRNA and mRNA-like properties. Its role is to liberate the mRNA from a stalled ribosome. To accomplish this part of the tmRNA is used as a reading frame that ends in a translation stop signal. The record is from RNAcentral. Lineage: Bacteria; Pseudomonadati; Lentisphaerota; Lentisphaeria.